This 253-nucleotide ribosomal RNA is filed under the name uncultured bacterium. RNAcentral's name for it is "partial 16S ribosomal RNA". It matches the Rfam family "Bacterial small subunit ribosomal RNA", at positions 524 to 776 of the family's 1533-position model. The record is from RNAcentral.
UACGUAGGGUCCGAGCGUUGUCCGGAAUUAUUGGGCGUAAAGGGCUCGUAGGCGGUUCGUCACGUCGGGAGUGAAAACUCGGAGCUUAACUCCGAGCCUGCUUCCGAUACGGGCAGACUAGAGGUAGGCAGGGGAGAGCGGAACUCCUGGUGUAGCGGUGGAAUGCGCAGAUAUCAGGAAGAACACCGGUGGCGAAGGCGGCUCUCUGGGCCUUACCUGACGCUGAUGCGCGAAAGCCAGGGGAGCGAACGGG